GUAAGGAAGUAAAUAGAGAGUAAUCUACUGUAUGUGCUUUAGAAGUGAUUUGAACAGUACCUGAAGUUGCAGAUGGAAGUCGUACAGGAGGCGUUGUGUCAUAAUGCGUUGCCUGGUCGAUCUGGUACCCGCUGUGAUCUGAACAUCAUGGAGAACAGAACACUAGAUUCAUUCAUUGCAUCCACCUAAUUUUCUAACGUUGCUAUGGGCACAGCCAAACAACGGAAGUGAUGGAUUCGAUUUCCGCUUUACUUACCUAGUGCAGCGUGCAUGUGGCAAAUUUGCUGGAUUAAAUUAUUUGAAGGAGUCCAUUUGUAGAGUAUGAAAGUCAAGUAAACAAGUUUUAGUCUACAAGGUCCAGGCACAUAAGGUCAUGCUGCUGCCAUCGUGGGCUCUCCGACCGGGGAGGAAGGAGACCCAUGGGAAUGCUGUCUCUGCCCCUCCAGCUCCCCUCCUGCCACCCGCCCCAGGGUACUCUCUCCUGGGCAUCGUCGUAGCUGGACUGGACCCCUCCUGGGAGCUGCUGGAGGUCAGACCUGCCUCUCUGCCCCCCGGCUCCAUCAUCCCUGGGGUAGGGGUUACCAUGUGGGUUACUGUGAUGGGAUUGGGAUUUCCUGGAAGGACUUUGGAGAGAAGGACAGAGGAGAUAACAUUACUGGUGCGUUGUUGUAUAAACCCUGCAUCAGUCAGUCCAACGCCUUAAUCAUUACACUCAUAAGGUUGCUGAUGGUGUUCUAAGAAUCAUGCUACAAUAUUAUUAUAGACAUAUGACAUCUGUCAUAGACAAUAAUGUUUUUUUUUCUGUGGCGCUAUAAAGUGAG
Molecule: long non-coding RNA, 821 nt
Filed under: Salmo salar (Atlantic salmon)
Lineage: Eukaryota; Metazoa; Chordata; Actinopteri; Salmoniformes; Salmonidae
Description: lncRNA (ENSSSAG00000098246.1)
Source: RNAcentral